Molecule: ribosomal RNA, 253 nt
Filed under: uncultured bacterium
Lineage: Bacteria
Description: partial 16S ribosomal RNA
Rfam family: Bacterial small subunit ribosomal RNA
Source: RNAcentral
UACGUAGGGGGCUAGCGUUGUCCGGAAUCAUUGGGCGUAAAGAGCGUGUAGGCGGCCCGGUAAGUCCGCUGUAAAAGUCAAAGGCUCAACCUUUGAAUGUCAGUGGAUACUGCCGGGCUAGAGUCCGGAAGAGGCGAGUGGAAUUCCUGGUGUAGCGGUGGAAUGCGCAGAUAUCAGGAAGAACACCAACGGCGAAGGCAGCUCGCUGGGACGGUACUGACGCUGAGACGCGAAAGCGUGGGGAGCGAACAGG